GAACGAGACCCGGGGGCACUCCGUGAGUACAGUGGCUCACGGUGUGAGUAACACGUGACUAACCUACCCUGGAGUUCGGAAUAACCUCGUGGACAACGGGUGCUAAUGACCGGAUAACACCUACGGGUCAAAGGAGCAAUUCGCUCUGGGAGGGGGUCGCGGCUGAUAAGCUAGUUGGUAGGGUAAUGGCCUACCAAGGCGACGAUCAGUAUCCGGCCUGAGAGGGCGCACGGACACUCUGGAACUGAAAUACGGUCCAGACUCCUACUGGAGGCAUCAGUGGGGAAUUUUGCACAAUGGGGGAAACCCUGAUGCAGCAUCGCCGUGUGGAUGAUGAAGUCCUUUGGGAUGUAAACUCCUUUCGACCGGGACGAUUAUGACUGUACCUGAAGAAGAAGCACCGGCUAACUCUGUGCCAUCAGCCGCGGUAAU
This 432-nucleotide ribosomal RNA is filed under the name uncultured bacterium. Its description in RNAcentral is "bacterial SSU rRNA". It matches the Rfam family "Bacterial small subunit ribosomal RNA", at positions 64 to 524 of the family's 1533-position model. The record is from RNAcentral.